RNAcentral lists this ribosomal RNA (497 nucleotides) under uncultured bacterium. Its description in RNAcentral is "partial 16S ribosomal RNA". It matches the Rfam family "Bacterial small subunit ribosomal RNA", at positions 28 to 507 of the family's 1533-position model. The record is from RNAcentral.
GAUGAACGCUGGCGGCGUGCCUAAUUCAUGCAAGUCGAGCGAACAGACGAGGAGCUUGCUCCUCUGACGUUAGCGGCGGACGGGUGAGUAACACGUGGAUAACCUACCUAUAUGACUGGGAUAACUUCGGGAAACCGGAGCUAAUACCGGAUAAUAUAUUGAACCGCAUGGUUCAAUAGUGAAAGACGGUUUUGCUGUCACUUAUAGAUGGAUCCACGCCGCAUUAGCUAGUUGGUAAGGUCACGGGCUACCAAGGCAACGAUGCGUAGCCGACCUGAGAGGAGGGUCAGCCACACUGGAGGUGAGACACGGACCAGACGCAUACGGGAGGCAGCAGAGGGGAAUAUGGGACAAUGGGCGCAAGCCUGAUCCAGUCAGACCGCGUGGGAGAAGAAGACCUUCGGGUUGUAAAGCCCUUUUGUUGGGAAAGAAAAGCAGCAGGUUAAUACCCCGCGGGUCUGACGGUACCCAAAAAAUAAGCACCGGCUAACUUCGUG